AGAUCUGACGGUACUGAUGAUAGCCACGGCUAAUUCCGUGCCAGCAGCCGCGGUAAUACGGGAGUGGCAAGCGUUAUCCGGAAUUAUUGGGCGUAAAGCGUCCGCAGGCGGCCCUUCAAGUCUGCUGUUAAAAAGUGGAGCUUAACUCCAUCAUGGCAGUGGAAACUGUGGGGCUUGAGUGUGGUAGGGGCAGAGGGAAUUCCCGGUGUAGCGGUGAAAUGCGUAGAUAUCGGGAAGAACACCAGUGGCGAAGGCGCUCUGCUGGGCCAUCACUGACGCUCAUGGACGAAAGCCAGGGGAGCGAAAGGGAUUAGAUACCCCUGUAGUCCUGGCCGUAAACGAUGAACACUAGGUGUCGGGGGAAUCGACCCCUCCGGUGUCGUAGCCAACGCGUUAAGUGUUCCGCCUGGGGAGUACGCACGCAAGUGUGAAACUCAAAGGAAUUGACGGGGGCCCGCACAAGCGGUGGAGUAUGUGGUUUAAUUCGAUGCAACGCGAAGAACCUUACCAGGGUUUGACAUCCUGCGAAUCUCUUGGAAACUUGAGAGUGCCUUCGGGAGCGCAGUGACAGGUGGUGCAUGGCUGUCGUCAGCUCGUGUCGUGAGAUGUUGGGUUAAGUCCCGCAACGAGCGCAACCCACGUCUUUAGUUGCCAGCAUUUAGUUGGGCACUCUAGAGAGACCGCCGGUGAUAAACCGGAGGAAGGUGUGGAUGACGUCAAGUCAUCAUGCCCCUUACAUCCUGGGCUACACACGUACUACAAUGCUACGGACAAAGGGCAGCAAGUUCGCGAGGACAAGCAAAUCCCAUAAACCGUGGCUCAGUUCAGAUCGUAGGCUGCAACUCGCCUACGUGAAGGAGGAAUCGCUAGUAAUCGCAGGUCAGCAUACUGCGGUGAAUACGUCCCGG
RNAcentral lists this ribosomal RNA (908 nucleotides) under uncultured Synechococcus sp. Its description in RNAcentral is "bacterial SSU rRNA". It matches the Rfam family "Bacterial small subunit ribosomal RNA", at positions 465 to 1377 of the family's 1533-position model. The record is from RNAcentral. Lineage: Bacteria; Bacillati; Cyanobacteriota; Cyanophyceae; Synechococcales; Synechococcaceae.